This 412-nucleotide ribosomal RNA is filed under the name uncultured bacterium. Its description in RNAcentral is "bacterial SSU rRNA". It matches the Rfam family "Bacterial small subunit ribosomal RNA", at positions 8 to 448 of the family's 1533-position model. The record is from RNAcentral.
AGAGUUUGAUCCUGGCUCAGAACGAACGCUGGCGGCAUGCCUAACACAUGCAAGUCGAACGAGAUCUUCGGGUCUAGUGGCGCACGGGUGCGUAACGCGUGGGAAUCUGCCCUUUGGUUCGGAAUAACAGUUGGAAACGACUGCUAAUACCGGAUGAUGACGAAAGUCCAAAGAUUUAUCGCCAGAGGAUGAGCCCGCGUAGGAUUAGCUAGUUGGUGUGGUAAAGGCGCACCAAGGCGACGAUCCUUAGCUGGUCUGAGAGGAUGAUCAGCCACACUGGGACUGAGACACGGCCCAGACUCCUACGGGAGGCAGCAGUGGGGAAUAUUGGACAAUGGGCGAAAGCCUGAUCCAGCAAUGCCGCGUGAGUGAUGAAGGCCUUAGGGUUGUAAAGCUCUUUUACCCGGGAUGA